RNAcentral lists this non-coding RNA (28 nucleotides) under Bombyx mori (domestic silkworm). The record is from RNAcentral. Lineage: Eukaryota; Metazoa; Arthropoda; Insecta; Lepidoptera; Bombycidae.
UCUACACUGUCCGUCGACACGGUGUCCU